CCUACGGGAGGCUGCAGUGAGGAAUAUUGGUCAAUGGGCGCGAGCCUGAACCAGCCAAGUAGCGUGAAUGAUGACUGCCCUACGGUUUGUAAGCUUCUUUUAUGGAGGAAUAAAUGUAGUCACGUGUGCCUGUUUGUAUGUACUUUAUGAAUAAAGAUCGGCUAACUCCGUUCCAUCAGCCGCGGUAAGACGGAGGGUCCGAGCGUUAUCCGGAUUUAUUGUGUUUAAAGUGAGCGCAGAUGGGUUGUUAAGUCAGUUGUGAAAGUCUCCGGCUCAACCGUAAAAUUGCAAUUGAUACUGGCAGGCUUGAGUAUAGUUGAGGGAGGUGGAAUUCGUGGUGUAGCGGUGAAAUGCUUAGAUAUCACGAAGAAUUCCGAUUGCGAAGACAGCUGCCUAAACUGACACUGACAUUGAUGUUCGAAAGUGUGGGUAUCAAACAGGAUUAGAUACCCUGGUAGUC
Molecule: ribosomal RNA, 460 nt
Filed under: uncultured bacterium
Lineage: Bacteria
Description: partial 16S ribosomal RNA
Rfam family: Bacterial small subunit ribosomal RNA
Source: RNAcentral